UACAGAGGUGGCAAGCGUUGUUCGGAAUUACUGGGCGUAAAGGGCGCGUAGGCGGCCUUCUAAGUCAGACGUGAAAUCCCCCGGCUUAACCUGGGAACUGCGUCUGAUACUGGGAGGCUUGAGUAUGGGAGAGGGAUGUAGAAUUCCAGGUGUAGCGGUGAAAUGCGUAGAUAUCUGGAGGAAUACCGGUGGCGAAGGCGGCAUCCUGGACCAUAACUGACGCUGAGGAGCGAAAGCCAGGGGAGCAAACGGG
Molecule: ribosomal RNA, 253 nt
Filed under: uncultured bacterium
Lineage: Bacteria
Description: partial 16S ribosomal RNA
Rfam family: Bacterial small subunit ribosomal RNA
Source: RNAcentral